AUACGUAGGUGACAAGCGUUAUCCGGAUUUACUGGGUGUAAAGGGCGUGUAGGCGGUUUAGCAAGUCAGAAGUGAAAUUCCCGGGCUUAACUUGGGCGCUGCUUCUGAAACUGCUUUACUUGAGUGCUGGAGAGGAUAGUGGAAUUCCUAGUGUAGCGGUAAAAUGCGCAGAUAUUAGGAGGAACACCGGUGGCGAAGGCGGCUAUCUGGACAGUAACUGACGCUGAGGCGCGAAAGCACGGGGAGCAAACAGGAUUAGAUGCCCUGGUAGUCCGUGCCGUAAACGAUGAAUACUAGGUGUAGGGGGUAUCGACUCCCUCUGUGCCGCAGUUAACACAUUAAGUAUUCCACCUGGGGAGUACGGCCGCAAGGUUGAAACUCAAAUGAAUUGACGGGG
This 397-nucleotide ribosomal RNA is filed under the name uncultured bacterium. Its description in RNAcentral is "partial 16S ribosomal RNA". It matches the Rfam family "Bacterial small subunit ribosomal RNA", at positions 523 to 918 of the family's 1533-position model. The record is from RNAcentral.